This is a non-coding RNA of Salvelinus sp. IW2-2015, 2198 nucleotides long. NCBI's taxonomy places the organism in Eukaryota, Metazoa, Chordata, Actinopteri, Salmoniformes, Salmonidae. The record is from RefSeq and is a predicted model, not a curated record.
CACUGUUGUGGGCCAUAUUACUGCGCAAGUGCAUUAUUGCACGGGUAGUCUGACAGAACAGUGAAUAUGUUUGUUGGCUAGUGAAGAAUUUGAAAUCCUGUAAAAUAAGUAAUCAAAAUAAGAAAUAAUUUAAGACAUUUCGCCCAUGUUUUAUUUCUGUAAAUUGAGCAGAGACUGAUAACUCAAUCGCGGAACUGUGGGGAUAAAGGUGGGAAGAUGUCAAAUCACUCGUCUUCUCACAGCUCUUCACCUAACACUGAUCGCAAGGUCUAUGUUGGGGGCUUCGUCAACGGUGUUGGUAAGAGUGAUCUAGAGCCUGCGUUCAGUUACUAUGGCCCUUUACGCAGCGUUUGGGUGGCCAGGCCCGCAUGUUUCGCCUUUGUGGAGUAUGAGAAUGCCCGUGACGCAGAGGAGGCAGUUAAAGGCAUGGAUGGAAAGGUGCUGUGCGCCUCUCGGAUCCAUGUGGAGUUGUCCACUGGCAUGUCACGGAAGACAAAACAUGACCUCCCCAGCCGUCAACACUUUGACCCUCAAGACCGCUGCUACCAGUCUGGGGACAGGGGCCACUAUGCCUACGACUGCUACGGUUUCAGCAAGAGGGGUGGAGGUCGUCGGAGAAGAUCACAGUCUCGUUCCAGGUCACGUGGCAGGUCACGUGGCAGCCGUUAUCGAUCCCGUUCCCGCAGCAAUGACCGCAGCAGGCACCGCUCCCCAUCUUAUCCCAAACAUAGGAAGAGGUCCGGCUCCCCUGUGUGGUCCAAGUCCAGGACAUCUGUUAGGAGUCGUUCUCGGUCAGGGUCCCGGGCCAGAGGGCGCUCGGCGUCCCGCUCUCUCCAGAUGCCGCUCUCCCAGCCAUAAGAGGAAUAGGUCCCUCUCCUAGAAUGACCAGGCCAGACCUUGAUUAGCUUCAGAGAGUCGCACACAGAGCUGAUGAGCCUGUACUCCGAGAAAGAGAGGCUGGUUUGGGUGACGGGCUGGGGGAGCGGGGCUCUUCUCUUUUCUCUUCUCCUUCAGAUCCAGCCUCAAUUUGAUUAGCUUCAGAGGGCGAGAGAACCUCAAACUCAAAAGAGAAAUCUGUCGUGAUCAGACUCCAGUGACCAAUCGCAUCAGGCCUUUUUUUAAAGAGUGUGGGGAGUCGACUGACUGCACAAGCACUGACCAGGGUCAUCCUUGCUGUGUUACCGUCCUCCCUGAGGGUGAAAAGAGCUGACCAGAAAUCAGCUUGCACCACGCUGGUUAAAGAGGUCGUUCUGACGAGACACAUCCAUCCUACGCGCGUACACACAGUUGUUCCACCCACCCCUCUCCCUCCCAGAACCCACGCACUACAGUCUUGAACGCUGAGCCGAGUUCAGUCGACAAGUUAAGGCCCCCUUCCUACAGAGUCCGGCCUCUUGCUUAGCUUCUGAGAGGGUGAGAAAGGAGAGCUGACAAGAGAUCAGACUUCAAGACCCGCCGAGUGUGUCUUCAAGUUCUAGAAUCCGUCGCUACUCUGUACAUGUUGUUUCUGCCACUGUCUCCAAAGUCGUUCCAGAUCUCCAAGCCAGAAAAAGAGCCCCACCCCAGGCGAAGAUUGAUUUGAAGACUAAACUUGUCCCCCUCCAACCAACUGGCUUUAGCCUUGCAGCUAUUUGUUUUGUCUUUGUUCCCUGCAUUGAUUAGAAUCUACCCCUACCUUUCUGAUGCUGUAUAAUUACUCUACAGGAUUAGCUUCAUAUCUAACCAUGCAUGCCUUACAUGUCACAUUCCUAAAAUGGCUUUUGUGUGUGUCAAAACAGUUCAAAUAGCUAAUUUCAGAAGUGGGAUUUGUGAACCAGAACUUUGUAUUUGUUAUUAUUUCUUAUCUACUAUAUUCAGUGUGGCAUUGCGUUAGAGCUGUAAAAUACUUUAAAUGUUGCUUUCCUUGGUUUAUGACACGGGCAGAUUUUGGAAUAAAUCGACACAUUAAUUCAGUGUUAUUCUUUUGAAAAUUGGGAACAUCUACAGAAUGUUUCUUACAUGGAGAUGUUUUAUAGUGAAAAAGGAAAUGAAAUGGUAUGUUUGCCAUGAAAAAUGGUUUGCAGUCAAUAAGUUUUCAUUUUCAAAAUUAUACCCCACCUAAUGCGUCGUACAUUAAAAACAGCCCUUAGCUGUGGUAUAUGUGUAAUCUUGGCUCUUUUCAACCUUGCCGAUUAAAGUCCAUUCUCAAAAAGCUGUAA